Triticum aestivum (bread wheat) is the source of this 136-nucleotide non-coding RNA. The record is from Rfam. Lineage: Eukaryota; Viridiplantae; Streptophyta; Magnoliopsida; Poales; Poaceae.
AUUCUACUCCCUCUGUUGCACAAUACAUGCCUUCUAUUUAUCAAAAUAUAUAUGUAUCUAGACAUGUUUUAGUAUAUAGGUACAUCCAUUUUUGGACAAAUGGAAGUCAAGUAUUUUGGAACGGAGGGAGUACACC